GCAGCAACAGCUUAUCUUCUUUGUCUCUCUUCUUGCUCUUUCCUCCUUAGCUUCUGCACGUUUCCUUGUACAAACAAAACAACGUUGUUUGGUGCUUGUUUUUCUCCAAGGUUUGAGCUACUUGAUAUAGCUGAGAAAAAAAUGAAGGUCGAUGACAUGGAACUGAUGGGGUCAGAGGAAUGCGAGGUGAAGGACGAAGAGUGUUUGAGUAGAAGGUUUAUGGUGGAGCCAGAACUGGAAUACAUCUACUCUCAUAACCGUAUCAAUAAAUAAUAACUAAAUUUUAUCUAUUUUUAUCUAA
Vigna unguiculata (cowpea) is the source of this 301-nucleotide long non-coding RNA. RefSeq lists it as uncharacterized. The record is from RefSeq and is a predicted model, not a curated record. NCBI's taxonomy places the organism in Eukaryota, Viridiplantae, Streptophyta, Magnoliopsida, Fabales, Fabaceae.